GUGCCUCUGGCCGAGCGGCAAAGGUGCCGGGCUUCCACCCCGGUCAGGCGGGUUCGACUCCCGCGAGGCACU
This 72-nucleotide transfer RNA is filed under the name Planctomycetota bacterium. RNAcentral describes it as "tRNA-Gly". It matches the Rfam family "tRNA". Rfam says of the family: Transfer RNA (tRNA) molecules are approximately 80 nucleotides in length. Their secondary structure includes four short double-helical elements and three loops (D, anti-codon, and T loops). The record is from RNAcentral. Lineage: Bacteria; Pseudomonadati; Planctomycetota.